GACGAACGCUGGCGGCGUGCUUAACACAUGCAAGUCGAACGGAAAGGCCCAGCUUUUGUGGGGUGCUCGAGUGGCGAACGGGUGAGUAACACGUGAGUAACCUGCCCUUGACUUUGGGAUAACUUCAGGAAACUGGGGCUAAUACCGGAUAGGAGCUCCUGCUGCAUGGUGGGGGUUGGAAAGUUUCGGCGGUUGGGGAUGGACUCGCGGCUUAUCAGCUUGUUGGUGGGGUAGUGGCUUACCAAGGCUUUGACGGGUAGCCGGCCUGAGAGGGUGACCGGCGACAUUGGGACUGAGAUACGGCCCAGACUCCUACGGGAGGCAGCAGUGGGGAAUAUUGCACAAUGGGCGGAAGCCUGAUGCAGCAACGCCGCGUGCGGGAUGACGGCCUUCGGGUUGUAAACCGCUUUCGCCUGUGACGAAGCGUGAGUGACGGUAAUGGGUAAAGAAGCACCGGCUAACUACGUG
Molecule: ribosomal RNA, 468 nt
Filed under: uncultured bacterium
Lineage: Bacteria
Description: partial 16S ribosomal RNA
Rfam family: Bacterial small subunit ribosomal RNA
Source: RNAcentral